GAUGAACGCUGGCGGCGUGCCUAAUACAUGCAAGUCGAGCGAAUGGAUUAAGAGCUUGCUCUUAUGAAGUUAGCGGCGGACGGGUGAGUAACACGUGGGUAACCUGCCCAUAAGACUGGGAUAACUCCGGGAAACCGGGGCUAAUACCGGAUAACAUUUUGAACCGCAUGGUUCGAAAUUGAAAGGCGGCUUCGGCUGUCACUUAUGGAUGGACCCGCGUCGCAUUAGCUAGUUGGUGAGGUAACGGCUCACCAAGGCAACGAUGCGUAGCCGACCCGCCAGGGCGAUCGGCCACACUGGGACUGAGAGACGGACCAGACUCCUACGGUAGGCAGCAGUAGGGAAUCUUCCGCAAUGGACGAAAGUCUGACGGAGCAACGCCGCGUGAGUGAUGAAGGCUUUCGGGUCGUAAAACUCUGUUGUUAGGGAAGAACAAGUGCUAGUUGAAUAAGCUGGCACCUUGACGGUACCUAACCAGAAAGCCACGGCUAACUACGUGCCAGCAGCCGCAGUAA
Molecule: ribosomal RNA, 515 nt
Filed under: uncultured bacterium
Lineage: Bacteria
Description: partial 16S ribosomal RNA
Rfam family: Bacterial small subunit ribosomal RNA
Source: RNAcentral